CUGCUGCCUCCCGUAGGGGUUUGGGCCGUGUCUCAGUCCCAAUGUGGCCGUUCACCCUCUCAGGCCGGCUACUGAUCGUUGCCUUGGUAGGCCAUUACCCCACCAACUAGCUAAUCAGACGCGGAACCAUCGUAUACCACCAGAGUUUUUCACACCGCUUCAUGCGAAGCUGUGCGCUUAUGCGGUAUUAGCACCUAUUUCUAAGUGUUAUCCCCCAGUAUACGGCAGGUUUUCCACGCGUUACUCACCCGUCCGCCACUAA
Molecule: ribosomal RNA, 262 nt
Filed under: uncultured bacterium
Lineage: Bacteria
Description: partial 16S ribosomal RNA
Source: RNAcentral